Pteronotus mesoamericanus is the source of this 103-nucleotide small nuclear RNA. NCBI's taxonomy places the organism in Eukaryota, Metazoa, Chordata, Mammalia, Chiroptera, Mormoopidae. The record is from RefSeq and is a predicted model, not a curated record.
GCUUGCUUUGGCAGACAUACACUAAAAUUGGAAUGAUGCAAAAAAGAUUAGCAUGGCCCCUGCUCAGGAUGAUAUACAAAUUUGUGAGGCAUUCCAUAUUUAA